This 468-nucleotide ribosomal RNA is filed under the name uncultured bacterium. RNAcentral describes it as "partial 16S ribosomal RNA". It matches the Rfam family "Bacterial small subunit ribosomal RNA", at positions 28 to 507 of the family's 1533-position model. The record is from RNAcentral.
GACGAACGCUGGCGGCGUGCUUAACACAUGCAAGUCGAACGGAAAGGCCUUGCUUUUGUUGUGUGCUCGAGUUGCUAACGUGUGAGUAACGUGUGAGUCACCUGCGCUUUACUUUGGGAUAUCUUCAGUAAACUGGGGCUACUACCUCUUAUUCGCUCCUGCUCCAUGGUGGGGUUUGGAAAGUUUCGGCGGUUGGGGUUGGAGUUGCGGGUUAUCAGCUUGCUGGUGGGCUAGUGGCUUACGAAGGCUUUGACGGGUGGCGGGCCUGGGAGGGUGACCGGCGACAUGGGGAAUGAGAUACGGCCAAGACUCCUACGGGAGGAAGCAGUGGGGAAUAGUACACAAAGGGCGGAAGGCUGAGGCAGCAAUGACGCGUGCGGGAUGAUGGCCUUCGGGUGGUAAACCGCUUUCGCCUGUGACGAAGCGUGAGUGACGGUAAUGGGUAAAGAAGCACCGGCUAACUACGUG